RNAcentral lists this ribosomal RNA (497 nucleotides) under uncultured bacterium. RNAcentral's name for it is "partial 16S ribosomal RNA". It matches the Rfam family "Bacterial small subunit ribosomal RNA", at positions 28 to 507 of the family's 1533-position model. The record is from RNAcentral.
GAUGAACGCUGGCGGCGUGCCUAAUACAUGCAAGUCGAGCGGACGGACGAGAAGCUUGCUUCUCUGAUGUUAGCGGCGGACGGGUGAGUAACACGUGGAUAACCUACCUAUAAGACUGGGAUAACUUCGGGAAACCGGAGCUAAUACCGGAUAAUCUUUUGAACCGCAUGGUUCAAAAGUGAAAGACGGUCUUGCUGGCACUUAUAGAUGGAUCCGCGCUGCAUUAGCUAGUUGGUAAGGUAACGGCUUACCAAGGCAACGAUGCAUAGCCGACCUGAGAGGGUGAUCGGCCACACUGGAACGUAGACACGGUCCAGACUCCUACGGGAGGCAGCAGUAUGGAAUCUUCCGCAAUGGGCGAAAGCCUGACGGAGCAACGCCGCGUCAGUUAUGAAGGUCUUCGGAUCGUAAUACUCUGUUAUGAGUGAAGAACAUAUGUGUAAGUAACUGUGCACAUCUUGACGGUACCUAAUCAGAAAGCCACGGCUAACUACGUG